AAAUUGAAGAGUUUGAUCAUGGCUCAGAUUGAACGCUGGCGGCAGGCUUAACACAUGCAAGUCGAACGGUAACAUGAGUGCUUGCACUUGAUGACGAGUGGCGGACGGGUGAGUAAUGUAUGGGGAUCUGCCGAAUGGAUUGGGACAACAGUUGGAAACGACUGCUAAUACCGAAUAAUGUCGCGAGACCAAAGGGUGCUUUCGGGCACUUGCCAUUUGAUGAACCCAUAUGAGAUUAGCUAGUUGGUGGGGUAAAGGCUCACCAAGGCGACGAUCUCUAGCUGGUCUGAGAGGAUGACCAGCCACACUGGAACUGAGACACGGUCCAGACUCCUACGGGAGGCAGCAGUGGGGAAUAUUGCACAAUGGGGGAAACCCUGAUGCAGCCAUGCCGCGUGUAUGAAGAAGGCCUUAGGGUUGUAAAGUACUUUCGGUGAUGAGGAAGUUAUGUGUGGGAUAAGCACAUAUAAUUGACGUUAGUUACAGAAGAAGCACCGGCUAACUCCGUGCCAGCAGCCGCGGUAAUACGGAGGGUGCGAGCGUUAAUCGGAAUGACUGGGCGUAAAGGGCAUGUAGGCGGAUGAUUAAGUUAGGUGUGAAAGCCUCGGGCUCAACCUGAGAAUAGCAUUUAAAACUGGUGAUCUGGAGUACUGUAGAGGGAGGUAGAAUUCCACGUGUAGCGGUGAAAUGCGUAGAGAUGUGGAGGAAUACCGGUGGCGAAGGCGGCCUUCUGGACAGAUACUGACGCUGAGAUGCGAAAGCGUGGGGAGCAAACAGGAUUAGAUACCCUGGUAGUCCACGCUGUAAACGAUGUCGAUUUGGAGUUUGUUGCCUAGAGUGAUGGGCUCCGAAGCUAACGCGAUAAAUCGACCGCCUGGGGAGUACGGCCGCAAGGUUAAAACUCAAAUGAAUUGACGGGGGCCCGCACAAGCGGUGGAGCAUGUGGUUUAAUUCGAUGCAACGCGAAGAACCUUACCUGGUCUUGACAUCCACAGAAUCUUUCAGAGAUGAGGGAGUGCCUUCGGGAACUGUGAGACAGGUGCUGCAUGGCUGUCGUCAGCUCGUGUUGUGAAAUGUUGGGUUAAGUCCCGCAACGAGCGCAACCCUUAUCCUUUGUUGCCAGCGAUUAGGUCGGGAACUCAAAGGAGACUGCCGUUGAUAAAACGGAGGAAGGUGGGGACGACGUCAAGUCAUCAUGGCCCUUACGACCAGGGCUACACACGUGCUACAAUGGCGUAUACAAAGGGAAGCGAAGGUGCGAGCUGGAGCGGACCUCCUAAAGUACGUCUAAGUCCGGAUUGGAGUCUGCAACUCGACUCCAUGAAGUCGGAAUCGCUAGUAAUCGUGAAUCAGAAUGUCACGGUGAAUACGUUCCCGGGCCUUGUACACACCGCCCGUCACACCAUGGGAGUGGGUUGCACCAGAAGUAGAUAGCUUAACCGCAAGGGGGGCGUUUACCACGGUGUGAUUCAUGACUGGGGUGAAGUCGUAACAAGGUAACCGUAGGGGAACCUGCGGUUGGAUCACCUCCUUA
This is a ribosomal RNA of Frischella perrara, 1534 nucleotides long. It matches the Rfam family "Bacterial small subunit ribosomal RNA". The record is from Rfam. NCBI's taxonomy places the organism in Bacteria, Pseudomonadati, Pseudomonadota, Gammaproteobacteria, Orbales, Orbaceae.